RNAcentral lists this ribosomal RNA (460 nucleotides) under uncultured bacterium. Its description in RNAcentral is "partial 16S ribosomal RNA". It matches the Rfam family "Bacterial small subunit ribosomal RNA", at positions 338 to 795 of the family's 1533-position model. The record is from RNAcentral.
CCUACGGGAGGCAGCAGUGAGGAAUAUUGGUCAAUGGCCGGAAGGCUGAACCAGCCAUGCCGCGUGAAGGUCAGUGCCCUAUGGGCGUUAAACUUCUUUUGUGCGGGAGCAAUAAUGGUCACGUGUGGCCAGACGAGAGUACCGUACGAAUAAGCAUCGGCUAACUCCGUGCCAGCAGCCGCGGUAAUACGGGGGAUGCAAGCGUUAUCCGGAUUUAUUGGGGUUAAAGGGUGCGUAGGCUGUGAGGUAAGUCAGCGGUGAAAUGCCCCCGCUCAACGGGGUGAGGUGCCAUUGAUACUGGCUUGCUGGAAUGCGGAUGCCGGGGGAGGAAUGUGUGGUGUAGCGGUGUAAUGCAUAGAUAUCACACAGAACACCGAUUGCGAAGGCAUCUCACGAAUCCGCGAUUGACGCUGAUGCACGAAAGCGUGGGUAUCAAACAGGAUUAGAUACCCUGGUAGUC